RNAcentral lists this ribosomal RNA (909 nucleotides) under uncultured Psychroserpens sp. RNAcentral's name for it is "bacterial SSU rRNA". It matches the Rfam family "Bacterial small subunit ribosomal RNA", at positions 9 to 916 of the family's 1533-position model. The record is from RNAcentral. Lineage: Bacteria; Pseudomonadati; Bacteroidota; Flavobacteriia; Flavobacteriales; Flavobacteriaceae.
GAGUUUGAUCCUGGCUCAGGAUGAACGCUAGCGGCAGGCUUAACACAUGCAAGUCGAACGGUAACAUGAGAGCUUGCUCUUGAUGACGAGUGGCGCACGGGUGCGUAACGCGUAUACAAUCUACCUUUUACAGGGGGAUAGCCUUUAGAAAUGAAGAUUAAUAUCCCAUGGUAUUAUUAACUGGCAUCAGUUAAUAAUUAAAGCUUCGGCGGUAAGAGAUGAGUAUGCGUUCUAUUAGCUAGAUGGUGUGGUAACGGCACACCAUGGCUACGAUAGAUAGGGGCCCUGAGAGGGGGAUCCCCCACACUGGUACUGAGACACGGACCAGACUCCUACGGGAGGCAGCAGUGAGGAAUAUUGGACAAUGGAGGCAACUCUGAUCCAGCCAUGCCGCGUGCAGGAAGACUGCCCUAUGGGUUGUAAACUGCUUUUAUACAGGAAGAAACCGCUCUACGUGUAGAGCUCUGACGGUACUGUAAGAAUAAGGAUCGGCUAACUCCGUGCCAGCAGCCGCGGUAAUACGGAGGAUCCAAGCGUNAUCCGGAAUCAUGGGGUUUAAAGGGCCCGUAGGUGGAUAAUUAAGUCAGAGGUGAAAGUUUGCAGCUCAACUGUAAAAUUGCCUUUGAUACUGGUUAUCUUGAGUUAUUAUGAAGUAGUUAGAAUAUGUAGUGUAGCGGUGAAAUGCAUAGAUAUUACAUAGAAUACCAAUUGCGAAGGCAGAUUACUAAUAAUUAACUGACACUGAUGGACAAAAGCGUGGGGAGCGAACAGGAUUAGAUACCCUGGUAGUCCACGCCGUAAACGAUGGUUACUAGCUGUUCGGACUUCGGUCUGAGUGGCUAAGCGAAAGUGAUAAGUAACCCACCUGGGGAGUACGUUCGCAAGAAUGAAACUCAAAGGAAUUGACGG